GCCCUUCCUACGGGAGGCAGCAGGGGGGAAUAUUCCGCAAUGGACGAAAGUCUGACGGAGCAACGCCGCGUGAGUGAAGAAGGUUUUCGGAUCGUAAAGCUCUUUCGUCAGGGACGAACGUAUUUCUUGUAAAUAAUGAGAGAUAGUGACGGUACCUGAGUAAGAAGCCACGGCUAACUACGUGCCAGCAGCCGCGGUAAUACGUAGGUGGCAAGCGUUGUCCGGAAUUAUUGGGCGUAAAGCGCGCGCAGGCGGGAUAUCAAGUCUGUCUUAAAAGUGCGAGGCUCAACCUCGUGAGGGGACGGAAACUGGUAUUCUUGAGUGUCGGAGAGGAAAGUGGAAUUCCAAGUGUAGCGGUGAAAUGCGUAGAGAUUUGGAAGAACACCAGUGGCGAAGGCGACUUUCUGGACGAUGUCUGACGCUGAGGCGCAAAAGCUAGGGGAGCGAACGGGAUUAGAUACCCCGGUAGUCCUAGCCGUAAACGAUGGGUACUAGGUGUAGGGGGUAUCGACCCCUCCUGUGCCGGAGUUAACGCAAUAAGUACCACGCCUGGGGAGUACGGCCGCAAGGUUAAACUCAAAGGAAUUGACGGAAGGGC
This 598-nucleotide ribosomal RNA is filed under the name uncultured bacterium. Its description in RNAcentral is "bacterial SSU rRNA". It matches the Rfam family "Bacterial small subunit ribosomal RNA", at positions 332 to 922 of the family's 1533-position model. The record is from RNAcentral.